RNAcentral lists this ribosomal RNA (253 nucleotides) under uncultured bacterium. RNAcentral describes it as "partial 16S ribosomal RNA". It matches the Rfam family "Bacterial small subunit ribosomal RNA", at positions 524 to 776 of the family's 1533-position model. The record is from RNAcentral.
UACGUAGGUGGCAAGCGUUGUCCGGAAUUAUUGGGCGUAAAGCGCGCGCAGGCGGUCUUUUAAGUCUGAUGUGAAAGCCCACGGCUCAACCGUGGAGGGUCAUUGGAAACUGGGAGACUUGAGUGCAGAAGAGAAGAGUGGAAUUCCACGUGCAGCGGUGAAAUGCGUAGAGAUGUGGAGGAACACCAGUGGCGAAGGCGACUCUUUGGUCUGUAACUGACGCUGAGGCGCGAAAGCGUGGGGAGCAAACAGG